AGGAGGAACAAGAUUGACCAAGUGGCAGUUCCUAAAGCUCCGGCUUGGUCUAACCAAAGCAACUUCAUCUGAUCAAAGGCCAGGCUAAGGUAUAGGUGGCUUGAUAAAAAUCGAAGGUGACAAAUUCUAGUGGUGUUUGAUAAGGGCCAGUCAUAACACAGUGAUGGUCUUUAGAAAGAAAAAGAAAAAGAAAUAGAUGGUUUACUAGCUGUUU
This 214-nucleotide long non-coding RNA is filed under the name Phoenix dactylifera (date palm). RNAcentral describes it as "long non-coding RNA (PDAC_LNC004239)". The record is from RNAcentral. Lineage: Eukaryota; Viridiplantae; Streptophyta; Magnoliopsida; Arecales; Arecaceae.